RNAcentral lists this ribosomal RNA (301 nucleotides) under uncultured bacterium. RNAcentral's name for it is "partial 16S ribosomal RNA". It matches the Rfam family "Bacterial small subunit ribosomal RNA", at positions 509 to 807 of the family's 1533-position model. The record is from RNAcentral.
CAGCAGCCGCGGUGAUACGUAGGGUGCGAGCGUUAAUCGGAAUUACUGGGCGUAAAGCGUGCGCAGGCGGUUUUGUAAGACAGGCGUGAAAUCCCCGGGCUCAACCUGGGAAUGGCGCUUGUGACUGCAAAGCUAGAGUGCGGCAGAGGGGGAUGGAAUUCCGCGUGUAGCAGUGAAAUGCGUAGAUAUGCGGAGGAACACCGAUGGCGAAGGCAAUCCCCUGGGCCUGCACUGACGCUCAUGCACGAAAGCGUGGGGAGCAAACAGGAUUAGAUACCCCAGUAGUCCCUGUCUCUUAUAC